GAUGAACGCUGGCGGCGUGCCUAACACAUGCAAGUCGAACGGACGGACGCGAAGCUUUUUUCUCUGAGGGUAGCGGCGGACGGGUGGGUAACACGUGGAUAGCAAACUUCUAAUUCUUGGUGGAUAACGGGAAGCAAGAGCUGCUAAUACGGAAUAUUUUGAACCGGUUGGAUCAAGGGUGAAAGACGGUUUUGGUGUCAGUUAGAGAUGGAUCCGCGCUGCAUUAGCUAGUUGGUAAGGUAACGGCUUACCAAGGCAACGAUGCAUAGCCGACCUGAGAGGGUGAUCGGCCACACUGGAACUGAGACACGGUCCAGACUCCUACGGGAGGCAGCAGUAGGGAAUAUUACGCAAUGGGCGAAAGCCUGAUGAAGCAACGCCGCGUGAGUGAUGAAGGUCUUCGGAUCGUAAAGCUCUUUUAUUGGGAAAGAAGAUAUGCGGAAUUAUCUGUGGAUGUCUUGACGGUACCUAAACAGAAAGCCCCGGCUAACUACGUG
This 497-nucleotide ribosomal RNA is filed under the name uncultured bacterium. RNAcentral describes it as "partial 16S ribosomal RNA". It matches the Rfam family "Bacterial small subunit ribosomal RNA", at positions 28 to 507 of the family's 1533-position model. The record is from RNAcentral.